ACCUGCAUUCGCAAGGGGUUGAGGUCUCGCCCAUGACUCGGUCGUUGACAGUGCAGGGAGAGGAGCUCCGAAAGCAUUUCCCCCUGUUCAGUGGGUUCGAUCCCGUCCCUCCCAAGCCCUGUAGCCUUCAGACA
Molecule: small nucleolar RNA, 134 nt
Filed under: Pygoscelis adeliae (Adelie penguin)
Lineage: Eukaryota; Metazoa; Chordata; Aves; Sphenisciformes; Spheniscidae
Description: Small nucleolar RNA SNORA71
Rfam family: Small nucleolar RNA SNORA71
About the family: The members of this family belong to the H/ACA class of snoRNAs which bind a number of proteins (including dyskerin, Gar1p and Nop10p) to form snoRNP complexes.
Source: Rfam by way of RNAcentral